AAUAAGUGUAGUUUUAUACUAUUCACGUUCAAUGUUUGAUCGUUCGUCUUAUUUGAAAAUUUUUUAUGAUUAGUAUUUUUAUUGCUAUUAGAUGAUAAAAUAUGAAUAAUACUUUAUGUGUGACUAAUUUUUUUUAUUUUUUUCACAAAUUUUUCAAAUAAGACGGACGGUCAAAUGUUAGACACGGAUAUUCACGGCUGCACUUAUU
Molecule: microRNA precursor, 208 nt
Filed under: Oryza barthii
Lineage: Eukaryota; Viridiplantae; Streptophyta; Magnoliopsida; Poales; Poaceae
Description: MIR812 microRNA precursor family
Rfam family: MIR812 microRNA precursor family
Source: Rfam by way of RNAcentral